CCUAGUCUAAAUCGAGUAGGUAUUUAUGAGGAAUCACUGAAGGUCGAUCUUCAGCUAUCCUUCCAUUUCCUCAUCGUAGAAUUUCUUAAUUUAUACAAAAUAAGCUUUUGUAGCGUUUCCCUGAACUCAUGGUGCUAAAUCUUAAGUUUCUUUACCUACUGUCUUUUUCUCGAGGUCGAGCCGAUGUCCUGCCUCUUCCGAACUUGCUUCACAUUGAAGGAGCACCCUAUAGAGGUCGGAUAAUGGUACACCUCUCCUCGAAAGGGACGUCAUCUCUUCCGAGGUACUCCUUCCUCGGUACAUAACUGAAAGAAGCAUUUCUUUUUUAUCUCGAUCGAGCAAUCUUGGGACUUCAACACGUCAAGGGGUCGACCUCAUAGAUCGACGAUCAGAGCUCCAACUUUAUCAGAUGCCAAGGAAGAGGUAUUGGAGUAGAUCUUUGGUCAUACUCCCCCUCCAUUGACCAAGCUCCUUAAUUGAGGAGAAUUUAUUCAAGAUUGGAUUGAGUUCAGCGACCCUAAAUGUAAGUCUAUUCUUUUUUUUAUGCAUCUUCUUUAUUUUGGCGCUACUUUCCUUUUUGACUAACCUCGUCUUCCAUACAGCAAUGAAUCCCAAGGAUCUGGAGGCUGUUCAUCAAGCUGCGAAUAAGAGGAAGGCAAGUACGGCCCCUGCUUCGAAACAUGGCCAAACUGAGGCCGUGCUGGCGCAGCCCAUGGUCAGAGAUUCCUCGAGGCCC
This 736-nucleotide long non-coding RNA is filed under the name Elaeis guineensis (African oil palm). RNAcentral describes it as "long non-coding RNA (EGUI_LNC043960)". The record is from RNAcentral. Lineage: Eukaryota; Viridiplantae; Streptophyta; Magnoliopsida; Arecales; Arecaceae.